RNAcentral lists this ribosomal RNA (499 nucleotides) under uncultured Sphingobacteriaceae bacterium. Its description in RNAcentral is "partial 16S ribosomal RNA". The record is from RNAcentral. Lineage: Bacteria; Pseudomonadati; Bacteroidota; Sphingobacteriia; Sphingobacteriales; Sphingobacteriaceae.
UACGGAGUUAGCCGAUCCUUAUUCCUUCGGUACAUUCAGCUUCCUACACGUAGAAAGGUUUAUUCCCGAAUAAAAGCGGUUUACAACCCGGAGGGCCGUCUUCCUGCACGCGGCAUGGCUGGUUCAGGCUUGCGCCCAUUGACCAAUAUUCCUUACUGCUGCCUCCCGUAGGAGUCUGGUCCGUGUCUCAGUACCAGUGUGGGGGCCAUCCUCUCAGAUCCCCUAGCCAUCGCGGUCUUGGUGGGCCGUUACCCCGCCAACUAACUAAUGGCACGCAUGCCCAUCCAAACCCCAUGAAUGUUUGACCAUUGCACGAUGCCGUGCUGUGGUUUUAUGCGGUAUUAAUCCGGAUUUCUCCGGGCUAUCCCCCAGGUUUGGGCAGGUUGCAUACGCGUUACGCACCCGUGCGCCGGUCUCAAGGCUGCAAGCAGCCUCUACCCCUCGACUUGCAUGUAUUAGGCCUGCCGCUAGCGUUCAUCCUGAGCCAGGAUCAAACUCU